AUAAAACUGUUGAAGAGGCUAGUAAUAACAAUAUUUAUUUUAAGAGAGUCGAUGGUUGGUGUAAAUCGAUAGUAAAAUGUUAUGAAUCCACCUUGGAGGGACUGUGAUGAGCAGUACGGCUUAAACCGUUAAAUUUAUUUAAGAGAAUAGCAUAUUUUGCUAUUAAUUAGGGUGGCAACGCGGAAUCUUUCGUCCCUUGU
RNAcentral lists this non-coding RNA (200 nucleotides) under Clostridium sp. RNAcentral describes it as "T-box sequence". It matches the Rfam family "T-box leader". From Rfam's summary of the family: Uncharged tRNA acts as the effector for transcription antitermination of genes in the T-box leader family. T-boxes are found upstream of many aminoacyl-tRNA synthetase genes and some amino acid biosynthetic genes usually in Gram-positive bacteria. Lineage: Bacteria; Bacillati; Bacillota; Clostridia; Eubacteriales; Clostridiaceae. The record is from RNAcentral.